RNAcentral lists this ribosomal RNA (234 nucleotides) under uncultured bacterium. Its description in RNAcentral is "partial 16S ribosomal RNA". It matches the Rfam family "Bacterial small subunit ribosomal RNA", at positions 15 to 244 of the family's 1533-position model. The record is from RNAcentral.
GAUCAUGGCUCAGGACGAACGCUGGCGGCGCGCCUAACACAUGCAAGUCGAACGAGAGAGAGGGAGCUUGCUUCUUCGAUCGAGUGGCGAACGGGUGAGUAACGCGUGAGGAACCUGCCUCAAAGAGGGGGACAACAGUUGGAAACGACUGCUAAUACCGCAUAAGCCCACAGGUCGGCAUCGACCAGAGGGAAAAGGAGCAAUCCGCUUUGAGAUGGCCUCGCGUCCGAUUAG